RNAcentral lists this long non-coding RNA (1236 nucleotides) under Homo sapiens (human). RNAcentral's name for it is "HSALNT0334433". The record is from RNAcentral. Lineage: Eukaryota; Metazoa; Chordata; Mammalia; Primates; Hominidae.
AAGUUUGAUGAGGCCGACUGCCGGGCGGAGUCUGAUGGGCCAACAGAGUCUGGCGAUGCGGCGCAGUCGGGCUGGCGGGUAGGGAGACCCGGGAGGCGCAGAUCUUUGCCGGAGUCUUUGGAACACCCGGGGUGGCAGCUGCGAACGGGCGCGGGGGUGUGUUUGGCCUGGGGAGGCGGGGGACUUGAGUUUGCAGCUUGGAAUGGGGUCCCUUGGGGCACCGCGUCCUGGGUGCGCUGGCGCCCCCUCCCAGUUGGAGUCCGGUGGUGAAGCGGUGUGGGUUCAGCAGUCCAGCCCCGGGGCCGGCAUUGCCGCGCGCUGCCCGCCACCGCCGCGCCGCGCCGCGCGCUGCUACCCAGCUGCAGGCGGCCGCGCCUCCGCCCUCCCGCGCCGCCGCCUCCGCGGCGGCCGCCGCUCCCCCCGCGCGGGCUGCACGCUCAGAUUCCUCCCGCGGCGGCUGCCAGCCCGGCUCCCCGGCUAGGCUCCUUCCUUUCCCUUCUUUUCUUCUCGCCCUCUCACAGCCACCUCUUUGCAUCCACUCCCUCCUGCAAUUUGCAAAGCUCCCCUGUCUCUCGCGCUUCAAGGUGCCAAGAGGUAAGUCGUGGGCAGCGGAUCUCGGGGCAACGAAUCUCGAGCCUGCGAAUCGCAGCCGCUGCCGCCGCCAGCCGGCCGCGAGAAGGAGCCCCCCGCGCGCCGUGUGCAGUUUCCGAAGCCUAGAGGCGGCCCCAGACUAGGGGCAAUCUCGCCAGGUCGCGUCCUCUUGCUCUCCCCACCCCUAGGACAAGGAACCCCCUCUUUGUAGGAAGAGAUUGAAGCCGAGACACCAGAGAGCCCCCGGCUGAUCUGACUGUCGCUAUUUUUCGUUGUAACUUCAGGAGAGGAGGAAAGAAAAUUCUUGAGCCUCUGUGCUGACUUCUCAGCACUCUUCACCCUCCCACCUCUACCCCCACCUCUGUCUGAGCGACUCCCAAGGGAAAAAGAUUUUGCAGGGUUUGGGUGUUUUUUGUUUUAAGUGACACAAAAAAAAUGAGGAGGGGGGGUGGAGGGAGAUCUAGUCAAAAUAGUUUUUAGGAACUCAAGUGCAUAGCUGGACAUUUCUUUUUUCUUAUAUAUUCAAUCUUGUCAUUCCUAGAGAACAAGAAUGAGGUGUUUGUUUGUUUGUUUUUGUUUUAAGGACUGAAAAACUGUCAGCUUUGUGAUUAAAAUAAGUUGCAAAACCCUUGCUGGGGAAAAGCA